This 863-nucleotide ribosomal RNA is filed under the name Streptococcus thermophilus TH982. RNAcentral's name for it is "bacterial SSU rRNA". It matches the Rfam family "Bacterial small subunit ribosomal RNA", at positions 1 to 848 of the family's 1533-position model. The record is from RNAcentral. Lineage: Bacteria; Bacillati; Bacillota; Bacilli; Lactobacillales; Streptococcaceae.
UAAUGAGAGUUUGAUCCUGGCUCAGGACGAACGCUGGCGGCGUGCCUAAUACAUGCAAGUAGAACGCUGAAGAGAGGAGCUUGCUCUUCUUGGAUGAGUUGCGAACGGGUGAGUAACGCGUAGGUAACCUGCCUUGUAGCGGGGGAUAACUAUUGGAAACGAUAGCUAAUACCGCAUAACAAUGGAUGACACAUGUCAUUUAUUUGAAAGGGGCAAUUGCUCCACUACAAGAUGGACCUGCGUUGUAUUAGCUAGUAGGUGAGGUAAUGGCUCACCUAGGCGACGAUACAUAGCCGACCUGAGAGGGUGAUCGGCCACACUGGGACUGAGACACGGCCCAGACUCCUACGGGAGGCAGCAGUAGGGAAUCUUCGGCAAUGGGGGCAACCCUGACCGAGCAACGCCGCGUGAGUGAAGAAGGUUUUCGGAUCGUAAAGCUCUGUUGUAAGUCAAGAACGGGUGUGAGAGUGGAAAGUUCACACUGUGACGGUAGCUUACCAGAAAGGGACGGCUAACUACGUGCCAGCAGCCGCGGUAAUACGUAGGUCCCGAGCGUUGUCCGGAUUUAUUGGGCGUAAAGCGAGCGCAGGCGGUUUGAUAAGUCUGAAGUUAAAGGCUGUGGCUCAACCAUAGUUCGCUUUGGAAACUGUCAAACUUGAGUGCAGAAGGGGAGAGUGGAAUUCCAUGUGUAGCGGUGAAAUGCGUAGAUAUAUGGAGGAACACCGGUGGCGAAAGCGGCUCUCUGGUCUGUAACUGACGCUGAGGCUCGAAAGCGUGGGGAGCGAACAGGAUUAGAUACCCUGGUAGUCCACGCCGUAAACGAUGAGUGCUAGGUGUUGGAUCCUUUCCGGGAUUCAGUGCCG